Molecule: ribosomal RNA, 253 nt
Filed under: uncultured bacterium
Lineage: Bacteria
Description: partial 16S ribosomal RNA
Rfam family: Bacterial small subunit ribosomal RNA
Source: RNAcentral
UACAGAGGUGCCAAGCGUUAGGCGGAAUCACUGGGCUUAAAGCGUGUGUAGGUGGAUUUGUAAGUACCUUGUGAAAUCCCACGGCUCAACCGUGGAACUGCUCGGUAUACUGCGAAUCUUGAGCCACUUAGGGGCUACCGGAACAAAUGGUGGAGCGGUGAAAUGCGUAGAUAUCAUUUGGAACGCCAAUGGUGAAAACAGGUAGCUGGGAGUGUGCUGACACUGAGACACGAAAGCCAGGGGAGCGAACGGG